Molecule: ribosomal RNA, 497 nt
Filed under: uncultured bacterium
Lineage: Bacteria
Description: partial 16S ribosomal RNA
Rfam family: Bacterial small subunit ribosomal RNA
Source: RNAcentral
GACGAACGCUGGCGGCGUGCCUAAUACAUGCGAGUAGAACGCUGAAGAGAGAAGCUUGCUCUUCUUGGAUGAGUUGCGAACGGGUGAGUAACGCGUAGGUAACCUGCCUUGUAGCGGGGGAUAACUAUUGGAAACGAUAGCUAAUACCGCAUAACAAUGGAUGACACAUGUCAUUUAUUUGAAAGGGGCAAUUGCUCCACUACAAGAUGGACCUGCGUUGUAUUAGCUAGUAGGUGAGGUAAUGGCUCACCUAGGCGACGAUACAUAGCCGACCUGAGAGGGUGAUCGGCCACACUGGGACUGAGACACGGCCCAGACUCCUACGGGAGGCAGCAGUAGGGAAUCUUCGGCAAUGGGGGCAACCCUGACCGAGCAACGCCGCGUGAGUGAAGAAGGUUUUCGGAUCGUAAAGCUCUGUUGUAAGUCAAGAACGGGUGUGAGAGUGGAAAGUUCACACUGUGACGGUAGCUUACCAGAAAGGGACGGCUAACUACGUG